RNAcentral lists this ribosomal RNA (1508 nucleotides) under uncultured bacterium. Its description in RNAcentral is "bacterial SSU rRNA". It matches the Rfam family "Bacterial small subunit ribosomal RNA". The record is from RNAcentral.
AGACUUUGAUCCUGGCUCAAAAUGAGCGCUGGCGGCGUGCUUAACACAUGCAAGUCGUGCGAGAAAGUGGCUUCGGCCACAAGUAGAGCGGCGCACGGGUGAGUAACACGUGGGUAAUCUACCUGGGAGUGGGGGAUAACCUGGGGAAACUCGGGCUAAUACCGCAUACGUUUUCGUGAUUGCGGUCGUGAAAGGAAAGUUGGCCUCUACAUGUAAGCUGASGYUCCCAGAAUGAGCNCCGCGGCCCGAUUAGCUUUGUUGGUGAGGUAACGGSUCACCAAGGCGACGAUCGGUAGCCGGCCUGAGAGGGURAMCGGCCMCACUGGAAYURAGACACGGUCCAGACUYCNUACGGGAGGCAGCAGUGGGGAAUAUUGCGCAAUGGGCGAAAGCCUGACGCAGCAACGCCGCGUGGAGGACGAAGGCCUUCGGGUCGUAAACUCCUGUCAGGUGGGAAGAAAGGGCACGGAAAAAUAUACCCGUGUCUGUGACUGUACCACUAGAGGAAGCCCCGGCUAACUCCGUGCCARCAASCCGCGGUAAUACCKGARGGGGCCANSCGUUAUUCGGAAUUAUUGGGCGUAAAGGGCAUGUAGGCGGCCCGGUAAGUUGAAGGUGAAAUCCCUCGGCUCAACUGAGGAACUGCCUUCAAAACUGCCAGGCUCGAGGCCGGGAGAGGGUAGCGGAAUUCCCAGUGUAGCGGUGAAAUGCGUAGAUAUUGGGAGGAACACCAGUGGCGAAGGCGGCUACCUGGACCGGUUCUGACGCUGAGGUGCGAAAGCGUGGGGASCAAACAGGAUUAGAUACCYUGGUAGUCCACGCGUGUAAACGAUGGGCACUCGGUGYUGCGGGUAUCGGACCCCUGCGGUGCCUUAGCUAACGCGUUAAGURCCCCGCCUKGGGARGUNCGGUUCGCAAGGNNAANCUCAAAGGAAUUGACGGGGGCCCGCACAAGCGGUGGAGCAUGUGGUUUAAUUCGAUGCAACGCGCAGAACCUUACCUGGGCUUGAACUGUAGUGGCCAAUCCUAGAAAUAGGAUCUUCUCUUCGGAGACUGCUACGGAGGUGCUGCAUGGCUGUCGUCAGCUCGUGUCGUGAGAUGUUGGGUUAAGUCCCGCAACGAGCGCAACCCCUAUCCUUAGUUGCUAACGGGUGAGGCCGAGAACUCUAAGGAGACUGCCCUGGAAAUCGGGGAGGAAGGUGGGGAUGACGUCAAGUCCUCAUGGCCUUUAUGUCCAGGGCUACACACGUGCUACAAUGGAUGGUACAAAGGGUCGCGAAACCGCGAGGUCGAGCUAAUCCCAAAAAGCCAUCCUCAGUUCGGAUUGCAGUCUGCAACUCGACUGCAUGAAGCUGGAAUCGCUAGUAAUCCCGGAUCAGCAUGCCGGGGUGAAUACGUUCCCGGGCCUUGUACACACCGCCCGUCACAUCACGAAAGUUGGCUGUACCGGAAGUCGGUGGGCUAACCCGCAAGGGAGGCAGCUGCCCAGGUAGUGNAAUGGGUUUAAA